UACAGAGGUCUCAAGCGUUGUUCGGAUUCAUUGGGCGUAAAGGGUGCGUAGGCGGCGCGGUAAGUCGGGUGUGAAAUCUCGGGGCUUAACUCCGAAACUGCAUUCGAUACUGUGGUGCUUGAGGACUGGAGAGGAGACUGGAAUUCAUGGUGUAGCAGUGAAAUGCGUAGAGAUCAUGAGGAAGACCAGUGGCGAAGGCGGGUCUCUGGACAGUUCCUGACACUGAGGCACGAAGGCCAGGGGAGCAAACGGG
Molecule: ribosomal RNA, 253 nt
Filed under: uncultured bacterium
Lineage: Bacteria
Description: partial 16S ribosomal RNA
Rfam family: Bacterial small subunit ribosomal RNA
Source: RNAcentral